Molecule: ribosomal RNA, 403 nt
Filed under: bacterium
Lineage: Bacteria
Description: partial 16S ribosomal RNA
Rfam family: Bacterial small subunit ribosomal RNA
Source: RNAcentral
UGGGGAAUAUUGCACAAUGGAGGGAACUCUGAUGCAGCGACGCCGCGUGAACGAAGAAGGCUUUCGAGUCGUAAAGUUCUUUUAUAUGGGAAGAUAAUGACGGUACCAUAAUAAAAAGCCCCGGCUAACUACGUGCCAGCAGCCGCGGUAAUACGUAGGGGGCUAGCGUUGUCCGGAAUCACUGGGCGUAAAGGGUUCGCAGGCGGAAAUGCAAGUCAGGUGUAAAAGGCAGUAGCUUAACUACUGUAAGCAUUUGAAACUGCAUAUCUUGAGAAGAGUAGAGGUAAGUGGAAUUUUUAGUGUAGCGGUGAAAUGCGUAGAUAUUAAAAAGAAUACCGGUGGCGAAGGCGACUUACUGGGCUCAUUCUGACGCUGAGGAACGAAAGCGUAGGUAGCAAACAGG